RNAcentral lists this ribosomal RNA (381 nucleotides) under uncultured Rhodoferax sp. RNAcentral describes it as "bacterial SSU rRNA". It matches the Rfam family "Bacterial small subunit ribosomal RNA", at positions 1000 to 1382 of the family's 1533-position model. Lineage: Bacteria; Pseudomonadati; Pseudomonadota; Betaproteobacteria; Burkholderiales; Comamonadaceae. The record is from RNAcentral.
CUAGAGAUAGAAAGUUACUUCGGUACAUCGGUGACAGGUGGUGCAUGGGUUGUCGUCAGCUCGUGUCGUGAGAUGUUCGGGUUAAGUCCCGCAACGAGCGCAACCCUUGUCAUUAGUUGCUACAUUCAGUUGGGCACUCUAAUGAGACUGCCGGUGACAAGCCGGAGGAAGGUGGGGAUGACGUCAAGUCCUCAUGGCCCUUAUAGGUGGGGCUACACACGUCAUACAAUGGCUGGUACAAAGGGUUGCCAACCCGCGAGGGGGAGCCAAUCCCAUAAAGCCAGUCGUAGUCCGGAUCGUAGUCUGCAACUCGACUACGUGAAGUCGGAAUCGCUAGUAAUCGUGGAUCAGAAUGUCACGGUGAAUACGUUCCCGGGUCUU